Poecile atricapillus (Black-capped chickadee) is the source of this 2754-nucleotide long non-coding RNA. RefSeq lists it as uncharacterized. Lineage: Eukaryota; Metazoa; Chordata; Aves; Passeriformes; Paridae. The record is from RefSeq and is a predicted model, not a curated record. The transcript is spliced from 3 exons.
UUCCAGCUCUGGGACGUGCCAAGGCACAAGGCAGACCUCUGCCCCUUGUUUCCAUCCAGAAUAUCCUUCCUGAGGGCGGAGAGCUCCUCUUCUUACAGCAUCCCCAGGGAGUCUGCAUCCUGCAUACCCUCGGGGCACUGAAAAUUGCUGCGUGGGAAGAGACGUGUCUGAAGGUGAUGAAUGGCUUUGCUAUGUUUGCCAAGCAGAAGUUUUCUUUUGAUGGGCACCAAAACACCUGGGCUUGCCCUUCCUGGCUGGAAGAGUGAAAUUCCCUAAAACAGCUCACAAAUAAAGGCCAAAUCAGUAGUUUCAGGAGAAAAAGAGGAAGGCUGAAGGUGCCACUGCAGAGGAGGGGAGAGGCCAGGCUCAGCAGUCUGAGCUGGUUCUUCAAGGCAUUCCAGCCCCAGCAGCAUCCCGUGGUGAGAAGUUCCCUGGAUGAAUGUGCAGCCUUAACUCACCUCUGCCAGGACAGGGACCUGGCAGUGGAGCAUCACCAGUAAUUUUCCACCCAUCUCCACGCUGUGGAAAUACACCCAGGCAUGGAAAAAGCCUAGAAGGGAAUAAAGAAGACACUUGGCCAGUACAGCUUGGCUGGCUCCCAGCUGAAGGAAAAGCUUCAGGUUCAUCCCCAGCUCUCCAGUGCUUGGCAGGCUCGGCUGCCUCAGCUUCUACAAACGGGACAGGCCAGCAGCAUCCCUGCCAAAACCCCGGGUGCUCCUACUCCAACGGCUCCCUGUGCCCACGGGUUUGCUGCAAGACAGAAAGGGGGGAAAGUGGCCUUUUUGUGGGGUUUGGUUGGGACUUUUUCCUUCUUCUCACCGCAGAGAAAAGGAGAAGGAAAUACUUGGCAUGGAGGGCGGAGCGAGGGGGAGGUUGGGGACAGCGGGGAUGUGGUGGUGGGAGAUGAGCAGUCCCUUUAUGAGGCUCUAAUUACUCCAGCCAAAACCCACAACAUCGCAUUAUCCCGAUGAGGUUUUUACGAGGGCAGUAAGAUGUCCCAGCCUGCCGGGGCGGUGAUUGCAAGCCCAUGGCCUCGGGCUCUCCGAGGAGCCGCUGGUGCUCCUGCUGCAAUUCGAUUCCAGCUCGGCAAGAGCGUCCGGCCCGUUUCCCAACCUCGCGGUACUAAUCCCUUGUAGCUCAGUGGUGCAGCAAUAACCCCCGGAGCCACCACCGCCUCUCACUGCCGGCGGCUGCAGAGCACAAGAUGUUCCUAGACAAGGCUCCUCACACCCUGUGCAGCCCGGCAAACAAGGGCGGCUUCCCAAAUCCCACCAGCAUCCUGCCCCCAGCAGCUUCCCAUGGAAAACACCCUCACAGAGUCACUGUCCCCAGCCUUCCUUGAAAACUCAGGUUGCUGUGAAAACAGUGGUGAAACAGGCUGGGAAGAGGGCAUCAAGGGCAGACGUGACCGAGGUCUGUGAUAUCCUGAUGAGUCCAGAGAAGAUAAGUGAUGAGAGGGUGAUGACUCGCUGCCUCUUGUGCAAAACCCAGGACCAGCAUGUCCAAAGGAUUUUUCUCCAUAGGAUUUCUCCUGACACAGGAGGAUGAAGGCAGAUUCAAAAAGCAAUUCCUGGAAGAGGAAACCACCCAGGACACCAAGACCAUCACCAGCUCACUCUGCUGAGUGUAGAAGCUCACUGAGGUCUUGAUGUUUUCCUGGGAUCCUCUGCUUCAGCCGAUGGUUGUGGAGGAAGAAAACCCAUCAGCGAGGUGUUGCUCCCACAUCCAAGGCACAGGGUAGCAGUCAGUUCCUGGGGACAGACUGGCCAAGAGUUGGCCAAGCUCCAGGGUCAGGACUGGCAGGCAGGAGCAGGAGCAGGAGCAGGAGUGGGUUAUGUGGUGGAGGUGGACAUGAAGAAAACAAGAUAUCCCCAUUCCCAAGGCUGCUGAAGGAAGCUGGAGACAGCAGGAUUUAACCCCAUGGGACGAAUGAGUCAGUCACAGGGAUGACCACAAGGAUCUGUUAUCACAAGGAUCUGUUAUCAGUGGAAAAUCUAUCUCAUGAGGGCAUCAAAGGUAGAUCCUUGUGUGCCAAAAGGAAGGGAGAAGGGGAGAAAAAGAGGACAAAGAUCCUCUGUGUCAGACAAAGAGAGUUCUGUGGCCCCCAGCCCCUCUGGGACGGUGCAGGAGGAGAUUCAAAGCCCCAGGUCCUUCUAUUUGAGAGCUUCUUCAGCCCAUCCUGGCAGCCCAAGGGCUGGGGGAGCGGGGAGGGCAAGGUCUCACUCUCUGACAGCACCACGGAGCCCCAAGCUGGGCCCAGCACAUGUUACUCACCUUGAAACUAUGUGAGUAAACAGAGAAGGCUCCUCUUCCCGGUCCCACCUCAGCAAUUAGGCUGCAGACUGAAUCCACCCCAGCAGAUCACAGAUCACGGGGAUGCUCUGCUCUCUCCUCUGGUGAGUCCUCAGGCCAAGCUACCCAGGAGAGGACAAUGAUGAAGCUCUAGUUGGCCUCCAGGCCCAUCCCCUCCUAUAUGGAGCUUCUUGGAGAUGUCCCACCAGGAGGAAAACAGCCCUUUCCUGUCACUUAUGGUGUUUUUAUAGUGUAUCACCAUUUUUUGCGGCUGAGCAGCAGCGACACUCAUGGCUCACUCUGACAUGGGGGAAGUGGAGCCAGCUGGGAAGAGCCCUGUUGAGAGACUUGACACCAGCUAGGAGGAGGAAGAAGAGAUGAUCCCACAGGAAAGGGACCUCCCUGCUAGCACAGCAAAAGCCUCUGAGCUCCAGGGAUUUUGUGGGCACCACUGCAGCCAUG